CUUCCGGGGGUGGCGGGCAGGGGCGGCAGCCAGAGCGGCGGGGACGGGCCUGGCGCCGGCGGCGGCGGCGGCGGCGGCGGAGAGGGCGCCGCGGGCGGGCGAUGUGAGCGCGGCACGCCGGGCAGGUGAAUUAACCGAAGCAUGAAAACUAAAAAAUAAGCAAGAGGAAGAAUGUUGAGGCAGACCUUGGGAGAUUACGCCUCAUGUCAGUAGCAAUGGACAGCAGCAGUUUUAUUCAGUUCGAUGUGCCCGAGUACAGCAGCACCGUUCUGAGCCAGCUAAACGAACUCCGCCUACAAGGGAAACUAUGUGACAUCAUUGUCCACAUUCAGGGUCAGCCAUUCCGAGCUCACAAAGCAGUCCUUGCUGCCAGCUCCCCCUACUUCCGGGACCAUUCAGCAUUAAGUACCAUGAGUGGCUUGUCAAUAUCAGUGAUAAAAAAUCCCAACGUGUUUGAACAGUUGCUUUCCUUUUGUUACACUGGAAGAAUGUCCUUGCAGCUGAAGGAUGUUGUCAGUUUUCUGACUGCAGCCAGCUUUCUUCAGAUGCAGUGUGUCAUUGACAAGUGCACACAGAUCCUAGAGAGCAUCCACUCAAAAAUCAGUGUUGGGGAUGUUGACUCUGUAACCGUAGGUGCUGAAGAGAAUCCCGAGAGCCGCAAUGGAGUGAAAGAUGGUGGCUUCUUUGCCAACCCAGUUGAGAUCUCCCCUCCAUACUGCCCUCAGGUACGGCAGCCCACCACAAGCAGUGAUCUCCGGAUGGAGACGACUCCCAGCAAAGCUUUGCGUGGCCGCUUACAGGAGGAGGGGCACUCAGAUCGGGGGAGCAGUGGAAGCGUGUCCGAGUAUGAGAUUCAGAUCGAGGGGGACCAUGAACAAGGGGACUUGUUGGUGAGGGAAAGCCAGAUCACCGAGGUGAAAGUGAAGAUGGAAAAGUCGGACCGGCCCAGCUGUUCAGACAGCUCCUCCCUGGGCGAUGACGGGUACCACACUGAGAUGGUUGAUGGGGAACAAGUGGUGGCAGUGAACGUGGGCUCCUAUGGCUCUGUGCUCCAGCAUGCGUAUUCCUAUUCGCAAGCAGCCUCACAGCCAACCAGUGUAUUAGAAGCUUUUGGAAGUUUGAGUAAUUGCAGCCCAUCCAGGUCCAUGCUGAGCUGUUUCCGAGGAGGGCGUGCACGCCAGAAGCGGCCUUGGUCUGUCCAUCUGCACAGUGACCUACAAGGCAUGGUGCAGGGGUCUGACGGCGAACAUGUGAUGAACAACCCUGGGUAUGAGAGCAGUCCCCAGGAGAGGAGUGUAAAAGGUCAUUGGUACCCGUACAGUGAGAGGCUGAUCUGUAUUUACUGUGGGAAGUCUUUCAACCAGAAAGGAAGCCUCGACAGACACAUGCGACUCCACAUGGGAAUCACUCCCUUUGUGUGCAAGUUCUGUGGGAAGAAGUACACAAGGAAGGACCAGCUGGAGUACCACAUCCGGGGCCACACUGAUGAUAAACCAUUCCGCUGUGAGAUCUGUGGGAAGUGUUUUCCAUUCCAAGGUACCCUCAACCAGCACUUGCGGAAAAACCACCCGGGUGUUGUUGAAGUCAGGAGUCGCAUUGAGUCUCCCGAGAGAACAGAUGUGUACAUGGAACAGAAACUAGAAAAUGAUGCAUCAGCCUCAGAGAUGGCCCUAGAUUCCCGGAUGGAAAUCCACACAGUUUCCGAUGCUCCUGAUUAAGAUGGGAAAUACUUUCAAGGAUUCGACCUAGGAAGACUCUCAAGUCAAAUAACUGGAUGUGUAUGUUUAUCCACCUCAGUGCUGAUGAUAAUAUUCAAAACUUGGGAGCCACUAUAAUACCCAUCAACAAAUCUGGCACUCUCCCAUGAUAUUUCCCCUCACCAGAGACCAAGCCUUGAACCACCAAAACUGCAAGCUAAGUAAACCUUUUUUUCCUUCACUUUUUUCUUUCUUCUAAUUUAAUUAGUUAAUUUUUUUUUGUCUUUUUUGUUUUUAUCGGUACCGGGGAUCGAAUCACGACUGCCUGCUUGCAAGGCAGGCGCUUAUGCUGCUGAGCUAAAUCCCCAGCCCCCAAUUAGUUAAUUUUUGAUACCAGAUCUCACUAUGAGGUUUAGGCUGGCCUUGAACUCACUAUUUCUCCCAGGCUCACCUCAAAAGUGUAGCAAUCCUACUGCCUUAGCCUCCUUAGUGCUGGGAUUACAGAUGUGCACCACCAUGCCUAGCGACUUUUUCCUCUUUAUAAAGUUAACUUCUCCAGGUUUUUUGUUGUAAUAGUACAAAAUUGACUGAAUCAGAUAGAUACGACUAUUAAUCUCUUUCACAGAAAAAACAGACUUCAGAGAUGGAAGAAAUUGAUCCACAUCAUAUAGCCUGGAGAUGGCAUGAGGCUGGUGUGAUUUCAUAGUUUGGUCUGUCUUCGUAACCAAUAUCAGUUAUGAAGCAAACUCGUACCACACAUUGGGGACACAGUGGUGAGCAAACCUGACACAGCCCAAGCCCUCCUGGAAGCCAAGAGUUCAGUGGAGAACGUGAGUCAUAUGGUCACAGUGACAUGUAAUUCAAAACACAAUGAAGCAAUGGUAAAGGGAACCAUGAGAUCUUAAGGCAGGGGCACCUGACCUCAUGAGGAUGCUGGAGGAAGUGACACCUGAGAGAAACAGGAUGAGUUGCAUUUAGCCAGAUGUCUUAGAUCACUUUCCUUGUUGCCCAGACCCAAUGCCUGACACCCACAACUAGAAAGAGGAGAGUUUUAUUUCGGCUUAUGUUUUAGACAUUUCAGUCCUCAUGUGGUUGGAUGCUGCGGUGGAAGGGUCUGGCAGAAGAAAGCUGCUCACCUCAUGGUGGCUGGGAGGCAGACAGUCAAGGGAGACACAGCCUUCCAGGUCACAUCCAAAGUGACCCAUCUCUUCUACCCAGACACCGCCUCCUCACAGUAAGUCAGCUGUAAUACCCUGGGAACCACUCACCUUCUGGCAGCCCCACCUCUGAACCCUUGAGGUGUUUUGGGGGGACGUUUGGACACAACCAUAACAGUAGGUAAGGCAGGAGAGGGAGAAGAAGAGCAUUUCAGACAGAGGAAGCAGCAUGGUCAGAGGUCUUGAGGCUGAAGAACGCUGGCUUGUAUAAGAAGCUGAGAAAGGCCAAGGUGGCUAAAGAACUGAGAGUGACCGUGAUAUGCUUGGAGGACACGGACCUGGUAUUCAGCACUACAUUUCUCGUGAAAACCUUGGUAACCAAGCAACCCUCCUUCUACUAGAUCCUUCUUCUUCCCCAGAAGUACUGAGGCCUGAACCAAAGGACUCAUGUAUAACCAGGCAAGUGCUGUACACUGAGCUCCAUCUCCAACCCUCUAUGAAUUUUAUUUUAAGGGAGGCAUGGUGGUCCAUGUCUGUAACCCUGGCACUUGAGAAGGUGAGGUAGAAUUUCCAAGCCCCACCUGGACUACAAAGUGAAACCUUUUCACAAACAAACGAACAUCUUUUUAAAAAUUUGAGACAAAAUUUCACUAAGUUGCCCAGUCUAGCUUUAAAAGGAUCCUCCUGUCUCAGCUUCCUGAGUAGCUGAAAUUAUAGGCAAUGUUCUUCUUCCUCCCUUCCUUCCUCCUUUCUUCCUUCCAUUUUUUUGUACCAGGAAUCGAACUCAUGACUGCAUGCUUGCAAAGCAGGUGCUUAUGCCGCUGAGCUAAAUUCCCAGGCCCCUUCCUUGUUUUUUGAUAGGACCUUGCUAUGCAGUUCAGGUUGGUGUUAAACUCACUAUGGCUCCCAUGCUGAUCUCAAACACACAGUGAUCCUCCUGUCUCAGCCUUCUCUGUUCUUGGAUUACCGGUAUAUGGCACCACACUUGGUCCUUUCCUUCUUUAGACUGAUCAAACUUUUUUUUAGAGAACAUCAAGUAUUCCUGGGCUGAGAGUCAACCUGUCUCUUUAAGAUGUCCUUGCGUGUCUUAGUUCUGAUUUCUUCCACCUGGAAUUGAAGUUGAAGUUUCAGAGAGCAGCUCUUGUGGUCGUGUUUCAGGAAAGUGCCUCUUUCUAGCCACACUGAUAAUACAGUCCUCAGUGCUGGGCUAGGCACAGGGCCACAGAAGUGUCCUCUUUACAGUUCCUGUCCCUGCACAGCUCACAGUCUUGUGUGGAAUUUAGAUUCAAAAAAUCAUUAGUGAUUAGUUACCUAGAUGUAUGCUUUUGUCAAGAUUCAUCACAGUACAUUUAAAGUGAGGACAUUUUAUUUUAUAUGAAACAUACCCUAAUAGAGUUGAUUUUAGAAAACACGUAUAUCAAUAUGCAAAACUUGGGACAAAAUUACCAUCUAUUGUCCCAAAUAUUAAGCUGGGCUUUCCUUCCAAGCUUCUAGAUCCUGAUAACGCCAAAUUUGUUUUCUUUUUCUGUCCCCACCCAAGGAUUGUAGCUGCUUUCCAGUUAUUUUCUCUUAUAGUUUAGUGGUGGUUUUUAAUCCUUUUCUCAGACCUUCAAUACACGUUUGACCCAUUCCCUAUAAUAAUUUCCCCUGCUAAAAUAACUAGUGUGGUUUCUGUUUUCUUGGCUGGACACUGGUCUCUCAAAGCUGAGUUUCUAGGAUGGGUUUGACUGGGCACCUGGUCUUGAACCACUGCCAACCUGUCUGCCAUGAACAAUGGCAGGCAGGGAAUCUGUAGCCUACAGCAGCAUCUUAGCUGAUUAAAUGCUCAUCUGAGGUUGGUUUUGAUGAAAUGCCUACUGAAGUACCGUCUUAAGAGACCAUGUGGCCAAAAGAUGGUAGGUAGAUAACAGCUGGCUACAGAGGCUCUCUGAGAUAGUCAACUUAGAAUUCAACAUAAUACAGCGUGGGGAGCCCCAAACAGAGGGAGAUGAAUUCUCUCGUCUCAAGAAGAAACUAAGGUGAGAAGAACCAAUCAAACAUACAGUCUCAGUGUUACUAUUAGAAUAGCUAAAGGAUCAGUGCUCCCGCGGCAGUGGGCAAGUUACCAAGCCGUCUGAGGUCCCACCACUUCGACUCACUGGAGGUGCAGUCACACGGAGGUUGGGGGUCAGCCAGCCAAAUGGAGAGCUGAGCUGGUGGGGAGCCUGCAUUGACCUGUGGUGGGUGACAGAAGGGGAGCCAUUCUACAGAAAGGGGGGCUCUGGUGGAUGACAUUCUGGGACUUGGCAAAACCGGCAAGUACAAGGAGCAGCAGUGACUUCAGGCAGUUGUUCCCUUCCCAAAUGGGGUUGGUAGAGUGAGCCUGGCCUGGGUCAUGUGAGACCCAGUAGGUUAUCCGAAAUCAAUUUCCUAAGGCGGUGGCAUACACUAACCACACUAACACAGUGAAGCCUCAGAAGUUUGACUGAUCCGGAGGGGAGGUGUUGCAUAGUAAUACAGUACAGGCCUCAGCAUCUUGACUGAUCCAGAGGGGAGAGGCCAUCAUACACUGCCCCUGUCUGCAACUCAUUAGCACACUGCAGUGGGAAGGGCCAGCGUGCUUCAGAAGAAUUGUAACCAACAAAGAAAGAAACUGGGGCCUCCUGGAAGAAACAAAAAAGAUGGGAAGAGGAAGCAAUGACAAAUAGUCCCCAGGUCCCAACCCUGAGGAACAUGGACCCAGGACAGGUAAAUACAAAGGAGAAUGAGAACAGCAAACAUGCAAUAUCAGACACAGUGUCAGUGGACAUAAAGAGAUAUCUUCAGGACCUCAUAGACAAGUUCAAAAGUGAAAUAUUUAGCCAAGUAAAGCAAGAUAUGAGAAGAUUAAUAAAAGAGAUGCUAAGCACCCCUCAAGCAGACAGAGAUGGAAGAAGGGAGGAACUCAAACAAAGGAGAGAACCAUUUGAUGAAGAAUAUAAAAAAAUAUGUAGAAGACAUUAAGCAGAUUCAAAGAGAUUAGCAGGAAAUUUAAAAUUCUAUGGAAAGAUGGCAAAUCUGCUUGUAAGAAACUAAGGAUAGAUUAUCCAAACUGGAGAACAGUUUUGCAAUGUGGAAUUAUGAAAGGAAGAACUUUUUAAAAAUAACAUGGAAACAAGCCAUAACAAUACAAAGGCUAGAAGAUGACAAGAGAUCUACAACUUGAGAAUAAAGAAUGUGAAUGAGGAAGCAGGGGUACAAACAAAGGAACUACAAAGGCUAUUCAUAGAAAUAAUUAAGGAAAACUUCCCAAACAUAGGAAAAGGAAAUGGUAUUCUGAUGUAUGAGACAUACAGAACUCCAGCCACCUACAGCCAAAACAGAGCUAUACCCAGGCAUAUAAUAAUCAAGAUCUCAGAAAUUCAGUAUAAGAACAGAAUAUUAAAGGCUGUUAAAGACAAGCAACAGAUAACCUACAGAGGAAGGCCCAUCAGAAUAAUGGCAGACUUCUCGACAUAAACCAUCAAGUCAAGAAGAGCCUGGAGCGAAAUAUUCCAAGCCCUGAAAGAAAAUAACCUCAAAUCCAGAUUGAUAUACCCUGAUAAACUGUCUCUAGAAAUUAAUGGAGAAACAAAAUGCUUCCCAGACAAAGAGGAACUUGGGAAAUUCGCAACCACCAAUCCAACUCUACAGAGAAUACUUCAGGGCAUUCUAGAGAGAGAGUGAAAAGUACUAGGAUUCCAGGAACAGUGGCAGAGAGGCCUCAAUGAAUGGAGCAGAAAACAGAAUGAAGAAGAUAAGCAGACAGCUGAUGGCAAAAAAAGAGCAUAACAGAAAUGAGGCAGAGAAGGUUGGUUAUAAUCUCUAAUAAUAGAUGACCUUGAUACACUAAAUUUAAAAUAAAAAAGAACCACAUGUGGAGUAGAACAGGAGGCAGGGUCCACUGAGAUGCUAUUUAUAGGAAAUAUAAUUAACAUGAAAAAAAGUACAUGGACUGAAAAUCAAAUGUGAGAAAACAAUGCUCUAUGUGACUGAGAACCAGAGAGUAAUAGGGGCAACUAGACCAGUAUUUGUGGGUAGGCUGGAAAGACAGGCUUUAAUAGGUAAAGGAAUACAAUUAAAGAUCAAGGCCAGGAGAGAGGAGGUUUGGAACCACUUAGGUAAAUAGCAGGUUGCCCCACCCCCAAUUUAAAACCAAGGGUCUUGGUCAGACCCAAAAAUGCACAGUAUACCCUGGGGAAGUGAAAGGGGAGGGAGAGUCUUAAAAAAGAUGGCAGAAGAUAUUGUUAAUGGUGUAUCAGGAUUUAAAAUCCACAUUACUCGCACCACUCUGCUUAGAUAGAUUUUAUUCUUUUUUUGAUAGAUUUUAUUCUGUCCCAGUUUAUCUACUUGCAUUAGAUUUGAGGGCACAGACAGCUAUCCCAAAAACAUCAGGAUAUAGCACAGUAAUUUCCUAUUAUCUUAAUUCGGAGCCCUGUAUGACUUACACUGUUUUAUCAUGACUGAUCUUAGUUAAAUCUGGUUUGAUUGCUGUUUGGUAGCGACAAAUUUUAUUUAAAACUGAUAUAUUUUUAAAAAUUUUUUAUUUAAAAGGAAAAAGAGAAAAAACAAAACAAAACAAAACAGUGUAAGGGUACAAGUAAUACAGAACUACAAAAAAAAAACAAAAGAAAUCAUCAGUUAAUAGAUUACACAUUAUCAUCUUAGAGAUAGUUGCUCAAGUCACAGGAUCAAAGCAUACAAAGUGGACAUUCAAACAGUGACACUGCAAACAGUUGUGUUCAGUGAUCCAACCAAAAACAUUAAUAUGGUCAGCUAUUUAACACCGAUAAACACACUUGCAGUUGUAUCCUUUAGAGUACUUUUUUUCCUCUCUUUUUUACAACAAAAUUUACACAUUUUGGGUUUUAUUACUCCUAUAGUUCUUAUUACUUUUCUUUGGAAGAGAAAUCAAAUAUGACAAAACAAAGCUGUCAGUCAAAACCAAGGAUAGACAUAGCACAUGAUGUAAAAACAGAGUACAAGGUUAUCAACAAUGGUUACCAUAAUGCCUCUUGCUUCCUUAAAAAGAAUUGUCUAUCUCAUUAGGUAUUAUAAAGUUGAACAAAACAGUAGAGAACAAGACCAAUAAAACCUAAACAUUGUAAACAUUACAGGACUUCAAAAGAAGAUAAUAGUCAAACCAGAAUGGGCAUCAUCGUGAAUCUUAUUGCCUUAAAAGUAGUUGCCUAUACCCUCAAACUUGAUACUAUCGUACAAAACGGAACAGAGUCUAAUCAGUCAAAACAAGAUAGUGGGAGUAUUACAGGACUUCAAAUCAAGUUAAUAGGAAAUCAAAAAAGUUACUAUAAUAUAUCCUGCUAAUUUUUUUUUGAUUUUUUCCCCUUAAUUAAAAAAUAAUAAAAAAAACUAAAUAAUUUUUUUAAUGAAUAAGGGAGAGAUUGAGAUAAAAGAGGACAUAACAACAUAACAAUAAAGGUCAAAGCAUGACAGUUUCAGCAACCUAGUGCUUCACCACCAAAUAACCCGACUUAAUAGUAGUUGCCAUAGUGUCUUUUUCCUUGAAAUAUUUGAAUAUAACUUCGUAUACUAUAGCAUCAAACAUAUCAAGACAGUGUAAAACCAUUCAAGUGGAUGAAAGCAUUGUAGGGUAUUUAGAAUCAGCUAACAGAAAACAAACAAUGAUUUCUAUAUUAUCUCUUUGCCUAUAACAAUUUUUGUUUGUAUUAUCACAUAUAAUAAAAUCCAGCAAGAUACAUGAUAAAACCAAUGGAGACAGAAGAGCCAUAGUUUGGUGGGGCUUCAAAACAAGAUGAUAUUAAAUUAGCACUACCUAUUAUGAUGUCUUGUUUUCUUCAGAAUAGCUGUUCAUUUCAUCACAGGCAAUAAUAUCAAGCAGCCCAGAAUAAAGCCAUUCCAAUUAAUAAGUGAAAACUUUAUAAGGCUUCAAGGCCACAUAAUGUGGAGUCAUGAUUACCACAUACUUUUAUAUAUUUGAAUCAUUUCUUACACUAGGGAAACUAUUUGGUAUUCACACAUGCGAGUUUGAUUUAUUUCACUUAUGAGUAUGGUUUCAAGCUGCGCCCAUUUAUUGACAAAUAUCUCAAUGUGAUCCUUCUUUAUAGCUGAGUAGUACUCCAUUGUUUAGAAAUACCAUAACUUUUUUAUCCAUUCCUAAGUUGAUGGACACUUGGGUUGUUUCCAAGAUAUGGCGAUUACAAAUUGUGCUGCUAUAAACAUAAGUGCGCAUAUAUCACUGUGGUAUGAUGCUUUCAGUUCUUCUGGGAAUAUGCCUAGAAGUGGAAUAGCUGGAACAAAUGGGACUUCCAAUCCUAGCUUUUUGAGAAAUCUCCAGACUGACCUCCACAAAGGUUGUACCAGUCUACACUCCCACCAACAGUGCAGGAGAGUUCCUUUUUCCCACAGCCUCUCCAGCAUUUGUUGUUGUUGGUUUUCUUGAUACUGGCCAUUCUUUCAGGAGUGAGACAGACUCUCAGUGUGGUUUUAAUUUGCAUUUCUCUAAUGAUCAAUGAUGAUGAACAUUUUUUUCAUGUAUUUAUUUGCCAUUUGUAUUACUUCAUCUGAGAAGUGUGUAUUCAUCUCAGAUGCCCAUUUUUGGAUUGGAUCUUUGAAUUUUGGGGGUCUGAGUUUUUUUAAUUCUUCAUAUGUUUUAGACAAAAGUCCCUUGUCUGAGGGGGAGUUCACUAAGAUCUUUUCCCAGUUUGUGGGUUUUCACUGUGCUGGAGAUAUUUUUUGACAUGCAGAAACUUUUUAAUAAGAGGUGGUCCCAGUUAUUGAUUCUUGGAAAUAUUUCCCGUGCGGUUUGAGUCCUGUUCAUGAAUUCUCUACCUACCGCUAUGUCUUCAAGGUUUCUACCCAAUUUGUCUUCCAAUAGAUUUAGUGUUUCUAUUUUAAUAUUCAGAUCUUUGACCCAUUUAGAUUUUAAUUUAGUACAUGGUGAUAGGCAUGGGUCUAGUUUUAGUUUUUGGCAAAUGGAGAGCCAGUUUUUCCAACACCAUUUAUUAAAGAGACUGUUGUUCUUCCAGUGAACCUGCUUGGCUCCUUUAUCAAAGAUAAGGUGGUUUAGUGUGUUUGUAGUUGUGGCUGUAUCUUCUAAUCUAUUCCAUUGAUCUUCGGCUCUGUUUUGAUUCCAGUACCAUGUUGAUUUUACUACUGUUGCUUUGCCUCCUGCCUUGUCUUUGCUGCUUAGAAUUGCCUUUGCUAUUCUAGGUCUCUUCUGCUUCCAGAUGAAUUUUAGGAGUGAUUUCUCUAGGUCUAUAAGGCAUAUUGAUGGUAUUUUUUAUUGGGAUUGCAUUGAAUCUGUAUAGCAGUUUUGGGAGAAUGGCCAUUUUCAGAAUAUUUCUUCUUCCUAUCCAUAAGCAAGGGAUGUCUUUCCAUUUUCUGAGAUCAUCUUCAAUUUCUUUUUUCAGUGUAUUAUAAUUUUCCCUGUAUAGGUCUUUCACUUCUUUCAUAAGAGUAAUUCCUAAAUAUUUCAUUUUUUUGCCUGCUUGUGUGAAGAGUGUGGCUUCUCUUAUUUCUCUCUCUGUGAUUUUGUUGUUAGUGUAUAGGAAUGCUAUUGAUGUCUGAGUAUUGAUUUUGUAUCCAACUACAUUACUGAAUUUAUUAUAUCUAAGAGUCUUCCAAUGGAGUUUAGGGGGUCUUCUAUGUAAAGUAUCAUGUCAUCUGCAAACAAUGAUAAUUUAACUUCUUCUUUUCCUAUCUUUACCCCUUUUAUUUCCCUCUCUUGUCUAAUUGCUCUGGCUAGUACUUCCAGUACUGUAUUAAAUAGGAGUGGUGAUAAAGGACAUCCUUGUUUUGUGCCUGAUUUUAAAGUAAAGGCUUUCAAUUUUUGGUCAUUUAGUAUGUUACUGGCUGUUGGUUUGUCGUAGAUGGCCUUUAUUAUAUUGAGGUAAAGACCAUCUAUUCCAAUUUUCUGUAAAGUUCUUAUCAUGAAUGAAUGUUGGACCUUAUCAAAGGCUUUUUCUGCAUCUAUAGAAAUGAUCAUGUGAUUCUUACUUUUGGCCUUAUCGAUAUGGUAUAUUACAUUUAUUGAUUUACGUAUGUUGAACCAUCCUUGCAUGCCUGGGAUGAAUCCCACUUGGUCAUGAUGUAUGAUCUUCUUGAUGAUUUGCUGCAUCCUAUGCAAAUAUUUUAUUGAGGAUUUUUGCAUCUGUGUUCAUUAGGGAGGUUGGUCUAUAGUUCUCUUUUUUAGUUGGGUCUUUCUCAGGUUUUGGUACUAGAGUAAUAUUUGCUUCCAGGAAUAACUUAGGAAGGAUUACUUCCCUUUCAAUUUCAUUGGAUAGUUUGAGGAGUGUCAGCAUUAGGUCUUCUUUGUAUUUCUUGUAGAAUUCUGCAGUGAAUCCAUCUGGGCCUGGGCUCUUCUUUGUAGGUUAGGACUUAAUUACAUUUUCAGUUUCAUUAACAGAGAUUGGGUUAUUCAGCAGUUUUACAUCCUCUUGACCUAGCUUUGGUAUUUCAUAUGUUUCUAAGAAUCUGUCUAUUGCUUCUGUGUUAUCAAACCUUUGAGAGUAGAGGUUUUCAAAAUAGGUGUUGAUGAUCUUCUGUAUUUCUGUAGAGUCUAUAGUGAUUUCCCUUUUUCAUUUCUUAUUGCAUGAAUUUGAGCUUUUUCUUCCCUUUUUAAAAAUAAGGUUGGCUAGGGGCUUAUCAAUUCUAUUUAUUCUUUCAAAGAACCAACUCUUUGAUUUGUUGAUUUUUUGGAUUGUUUUCUUAGUCUCUAUUGUGUUGAUUUCUGCUCUGAUUUUUAUAAUUUCCUCUCUUCUUUUGGCUUUGGGCUUGACUUGCUCUUCUUUUUCUAGCUGUUUGAGGUGUAGCAUCAGGUUAUUUAUUUGUAUUCGUUCUGUUUUCCUGAUGUGGGAACUCAGUGCAAUAAAUUUUCCUCUGAGGACAGCUUUCAUUGCAUCCCACAGAUUCCAGUAAGUUGUAUCUGUAUUUUCAUUUUCUUGUAGGUAUUGUUUAAUUUCUUCUUUAAUUUUUCCUGUGACCCACUGAUUACUCAAGAGUGUGUUAUUCAGUUUCCAUAUGUUUGUGGGAUUUUUGCAGUAUCUUUUAUCAUUAAUUUCUAAUUUGAAAGUGCUAUGAUCCGAUAACAUGCAAGGGAUGAUUUCAACUUUUUCAUUUGUUUAAAUAUGUUCUGUUAUAUAGUCUGUUUUAGAGAAUGACCCAUGUACUGCUGAGAAAAAUGUGUAUUCUGAUGUUGUUGGAUGGAACACUCUGUAUAUGUCUAUCAAGUCCAUUUGUUCACAGGUGUGAUUCAGUUCUGUUAUUUCUUUGCUCAUUUUCUGUCUGAUUGAUCUGUCCCUUGGUGUCAAUGGUGUGUUAUGGUCUCCUGUUACAUUCGUGUUACUGAUAAUUUGAUUUUUCAUUUCUGUUAAUAGUUGUUUUAUAUAACUGGGUGGUCUGGAAUUUGGUGCAUAUAUAUUUAAGAUAGUUAUUUCUUCCUCUUGGAGUUUUCCCCUAACGAGUAUGUAGUGACCUUCUUUGUCCUUUCUGAUCAUUGUUGGUUUAAAGUUCCCGUUGUCUGAAAACAGAAUGGCUACUCCUGCUUUUUUUUAGAUUCUUGUUGCAUGAAGUAUUGUUUUCCAUCCUUUGACUUUCAGUCUGUGAGUAUCCUUCUGGGUUAGAUGGGUUUCCUACAGCAUAUGGUUGGAUUUUGUUUCUUGAUGCAUUCUGCCAGUCUGUUUCUUUUGAUUGGUGCAUUGAGACCAUUUACAUUAAUGGUUAUAACUGUUAUAUGCUGGUUUAUUGUUGACAUGUUAUCUUUCUGCUGUUGCAUCUUUAUCUUUCUGUUCUGUUUAAUUAUCUGCUUUGCUUAGUGGUUUUUUCCUUUGUGUAUCUAAACUGUCUCUCAAUAGUUUUUGCAGGGUUGGCUUGGUGAUCAUGAGGUUCUUCAGCUGUUCUUUGUCAUGGAAGUAUCGUAUUUCACCAUCGAUUUUGAAUGAUAGUUUUGCAGGGUACAUCAGUCUAGGUUGGAAAUCAUUUUGCUUUAGGAUCUGGAAAACUUCACUCCAUGCUCUUCUUGACUUUAUUAUUUGUGCUGAGAAGUCUGCUGUGAUUCUGAUAGGUUUUCCUUUAUAAGUGAUCUGUCUUUUCUCUCUGACAGCUUUUUUUUUUUUUUUCUUUUCUUUUUCCUUUUUAUCGGUACCGGGGAUCAAACUCACAACUGCCUGCUUGCAAGGCAGGGGCUUAUGCCGCUGAGCUAAAUCUGCAGCCCCUCUCUGACAGCUUUUAAAAAUCUAUUCUUGUGUUGGAUUUCUGGGAUGGUGAUUAUUAUAUGUCUGGGUGUAGUUUUAUUUUGGUUAUGACUACUUGGAGUUCAGUAGGCUUCACUGAACCUGAUGUCGGUUUCUGAUCUCAUGCUUGGGAAAUUUUCAGCUAUUACUUCUCUAAAUAUCCUCUUGACAUCCUUUAUGUUGUCCCCUUCUUUUCCAAUAAUCCCUAUCAAUCUUAUGUUGUUUUUCUUUGCGUCACCUUGCAGUUGUUGAAUUAUUAUUUCCUGAUUACUUGUUAUUUUUAAAAUCUUUUCUUUCCUGUUCACUAGCUACAAUCCUGUCUUCAAGGUCUGAAAUUCUAUCUUCACUUUCAUUGAGGCGGUUUUUACAGCCUUCAGUGGAGUUUUUGAUUUCCUGUAUAUCUCUGUGCAUCUGCUUUAUGUAUUCUGUUUGUUUCUUAUAUUGCUCAUCUAGGGAUUCUAUCUUUUUGUUUAGUUCCUCCAAUUUUUAAACUGUGUUUUCUUUAGAUAUAUUCAGCAUCUCUUUCAUUUCAUCAUUUUUUCUUUUACCUGGGAGAUUAUUUCGAGUUUGAAUUCCUUUAAAGCUUCCCAGAGUUGCUUAUUUAUUUCAGUGGCUAUUAUGUCUGAUAUUUGAGGUGUAUGGCAUAUAUUUUCUUCUAUAUACAUUGCUCCUAGGGUUUCUUGAGAUGGGCUGGAGGUUUGAGGUUGUAAUUUGGUCUUUCGUUUUGUCAUUUUCCUGUAUUUCUGUGUUUCAAGUGUUAUUGAAAAGCUUCCUCAGGGUCUGUUGGAAAUUCACUUCUAUGUUUGCAUUUCCUGGGACUCUGGCACCCAGUUCCCCCAGGCCACUGGGCCUCUGGAACCCAUGGCGCUCUCUGCUUGCUUAGAAUUCCGCAGUCCCAGAUAAGCUGGGCUCCAGGGACAGUGUGCGCCCACCUGCUUGCUUGGAACUCCACAGUUCUCUGAGUGCCGCCUUAGCAGGGAGGUGGAUGUAGGAGCCUCUGAUCUGCCUAUCUACUUCACUGCACCUGGCAGGCUCGAGGGUCCCAAACAGGCUGGGCUUGGGGGAGAGUGUACUGGACACUUACCGCAGGCUGUGGGGCCUCUGGAUGUGAUGAUGCUCGCCUGCUUGCUUAGAAAUCCACAGUCCUCCAGACACACGGGGCAGCGGAUGCAGGUGCCCCAGACCCAUCCAGCUGUUCCCCCGCACCCAGAUGGUGCGAGGGUCCCAAAUAGGCUGGGCUCAGGGAACAGUGUGCACCCGCCUGCUUGCUUGAAACUCCACAGUUCUCCCAGCGCAGCCAGAACGCGGAGGCAGAUGUAGGCGCCUGGGACUUGCCUAGCCACUUCGCUGCAUGGGGAAGGCUUGAGGGUCCUGAGCAGGCUAUGCUUGGGGGAGAGUGUACUAGGCACUUACUGGAGGCCGCUGGAACUGGUGAUGCUCGCCUGCUUGCUUAGGAAUCCACAGUCCUCCAGACUGACGGGGAGGUGGAUGCAGGCACCCCAGACCUGCCCAGCCAUUACCCAAAACUGAUAUGAUUGAUAGUAUCAAGUGUGAGAGUAUAGGCAACUACACUGAAAAUGACAAGACUCUAUGAUACACAUUCUGGUUUGAUAACUGCCUGCAUUUGAAGUUUUAUACUAUAUACAAAGUUGUGUUUUUAUUAAUACUGUUAUGUACUGAUAUAUUCAAUUAUACUAUGUCUGAUGAUAUAGCCAGUUCUAUUGAAGAUAACAUGAGACAACACAGCAACUAUGGUAGAACUCCUUGUACAACGGUCUUAUAUGUCUUUUUCGUUUCAUGUGUUUAUAGGAUUAUGUUUUGUUUUGUCUUGCUUUAUUUUGUUUCUCCUAAUAUAGAAAGGAUAGAAAUACAUGUUAAGACUCAUGCAUGUAUAGAACUGAUCUUAUGACACAUGAUGAACAGAUACUUUGAAGGAAAACAGACACUAAAGUUUUUGUUGGAUAGUUGAACAGAAUUGGUUGCAAUCUCACUGUUUGAAUCCCCACUUUAUAUGUUCCACUUUAGUAUCCUGAAUAACUAUUUGUAAGAGGACAAUCUGUAAUCAACUAGUGAUUUCUUACUGUUUAUUUUUUCCUUUAAAGUGUGUAUUAUUUCUACCCAUUUUCUGUUUUGUUUAGUCUUUCUUUAAAUAAAAAAAAAAAUUAAAAAAAAAAAAAAGACACUACAGUACCCAGUGCUCAUCCCGGAGUGUCAUGAUGUGAAAUCCAGCAAUACUAUUAUUCUUUGUUCAGAAUGACUUUAGCAUGCUUUAGUUUGUUUAAUCCCAACAUAAAUGAAGAUAUGGAAAGCUGCAUGUGUGUUUAAGUGUAUAGGAUUGACAACCAUAUUACUAAGUUUUUGUUGGAUAGUUGAACAGAACUGGUUGCAGUCACGCUGUUUGAAUUCCCAUUUUAUAUGUCCCACUUUUGUAUCCUGAACAACUAUUUGUAAAAGGACAAUAUGUAAACAUUAACUAGUGAUUUCUUACUGUUUAUUUCUUCUCUGAACGAAUGUAUUACUUCUUCCCAUUUUCUGUUUUGUUUAGUCUUUAUUUAAAUAAAAUGUUUUUUAAAAAAGAGAGAGACCAUGUGGCCGCUACCUGAGAUUUAAGGUAAAUACUUGCUUCCAGGCCUGGGAAUGGUUUAGCUAUUCCUGAUGGCGUGAAAGCACUUAUAGAAAGAAAUGCUCACACCUUAAGCUGUGGGAAGAGGCUCACAGAGCUUUUAUGGUGGCCACAAAAGAAACCAUUCUUUAUUGAGCUGUGGGGCGUGGCUGUCAGAAUGCAGAGGUGAAAACAGAAGCAAAAUCAAGUUAUCUUUGGGAAUAGCAUUGCCAUGGGAAUCCAUGUGCCACGGUAAACUGUGGACAUACUCAAAGAGGUUGAGGCAAGGGGAAGGUUUUAAAGGCAAAAGUGAGAAAGAUUACAAAAAGACAUUUUGGAACAAUAAUCUUGAGACAGUGGUUAAUAACAAGGGUGACAUCAGUGGGAGGUUGAAUAAAGAGUUGCUGGUUUUACA
Molecule: RNA transcript, 16079 nt
Organism: Cavia porcellus (domestic guinea pig)
Lineage: Eukaryota; Metazoa; Chordata; Mammalia; Rodentia; Caviidae
Gene: Zbtb34
Gene name: zinc finger and BTB domain containing 34
Exons: 5
Source: RefSeq, a predicted model, not a curated record